Molecule: ribosomal RNA, 252 nt
Filed under: uncultured bacterium
Lineage: Bacteria
Description: partial 16S ribosomal RNA
Rfam family: Bacterial small subunit ribosomal RNA
Source: RNAcentral
ACGAAGGGGGCUAACGUUGUUCGGAUUUACUGGGCGUAAAGCGUACGUAGGCGGAUUAGUAAGUUAGGGGUGAAAUCCCGAGGCUCAACCUCGGAACUGCCUUUAAUACUGCUAAUCUAGAGAUCGGGAGAGGUGUAUGGAACUCCUAGUGUAGAGGUGGAAUUCGUAGAUAUUAGGAAGAACACCCGUGGCGAAGGCGAUACACUGGCCCGAUACUGACGCUGAGGUACGAAAGCGUGGGGAGCAAACAGG